This 73-nucleotide transfer RNA is filed under the name Citharinus congicus (Congo citharin). RNAcentral describes it as "tRNA-Thr". It matches the Rfam family "tRNA". Rfam says of the family: Transfer RNA (tRNA) molecules are approximately 80 nucleotides in length. Their secondary structure includes four short double-helical elements and three loops (D, anti-codon, and T loops). Lineage: Eukaryota; Metazoa; Chordata; Actinopteri; Characiformes; Citharinidae. The record is from RNAcentral.
GCCCUAGUAGCUUAGUGUUUAAAGCGCCGGUCUUGUAAUCCGGAGACCGGAGGUCAAAAUCCUCCCUAGUGCC